CAUAAUUCCAUUUUCUUUUACAUAAAGAGAAUACUUCAAAAUGAGAAGAUCCUGCCAUGGAAAAGACGACUGGGCGGACAUAAAGUGGAAAGGAGGGGAAAUAAUUCACACCAUGCAGCAGGACACCUUCAGCUGCGGGGUUUUUGUAAUGCAGGUUUGAUAGUUAUAUUUUAAAUAAUUAAGCUGUUAUGUGACAAUUAGGUUAAACUAUUUUAUUUCUUGGUGUAGAUGGCCAAGGAAGUUGCACAGAACUUCCCCAACAUCCCCUCCCAAAUUGAUAUGGAACUUUCAAAAACACAUGGAGCAACUGCGAAAAGAAAUGGCUGAGGAUAUGCUAAAAAUGUCUGAGUUCAACAAAGCCAACUGCUUCAUGUGUGCCACUGAUAAAGAACCUGGAUGUGGCCCAAAGACUGACUGGGGCUAGGAACCCUCCAUGUUCAGGACCCUACCCAGGGCUGGCAUCUCUCAGCCUGUGGAUCUUCUCUUCUAUCCUGGCUGUAUGCUGGCUCUUCUCCUGCACCUCCUUCUCCACCUCCCUCCGAUUCCUGACCUCGUCUGACAGAUGAAUUACCUUUAAUACAAAGAAACACAGAAAAGUAUGUGAGGUGACCAAGGUUACUUCAGCUCCUCAUUUUCACUUUGUUUCAUUAGUUUUAUUUUAGUUUGACAGGUUUUAUAUUUACUUAUAUAUGUGUGUUGUGCUC
Molecule: non-coding RNA, 704 nt
Organism: Salmo salar (Atlantic salmon)
Lineage: Eukaryota; Metazoa; Chordata; Actinopteri; Salmoniformes; Salmonidae
Source: RefSeq, a predicted model, not a curated record